UCGGGUAUGGUGUAAAGGCUAACAUUGCCGCCUCUCAUGAGCGUCCGCGGCAGCUCGGGGUUCGAUUCCCUGUACCCGAA
This 80-nucleotide transfer RNA is filed under the name Ephemerocybe angulata. RNAcentral's name for it is "Coprinellus angulatus tRNA-Glu". It matches the Rfam family "tRNA". From Rfam's summary of the family: Transfer RNA (tRNA) molecules are approximately 80 nucleotides in length. Their secondary structure includes four short double-helical elements and three loops (D, anti-codon, and T loops). Lineage: Eukaryota; Fungi; Basidiomycota; Agaricomycetes; Agaricales; Psathyrellaceae. The record is from RNAcentral.